CCUACGGGUGGCAGCAGUGGGGAAUAUUGCGCAAUGGGCGAAAGCCUGACGCAGCGACGCCGCGUGAGGGAUGAAGGUCUUCGGAUCGUAAACCUCUGUUAGCAGGGAAGAACGGUCACUGUGCUAAUCAGCAGUGAAUUUACGGUAUCUGCAAAGGAAGCACCGGCUAACUCCGUGCCAGCAGCCGCGGUAAGACGGAGGGUGCGAGCGUUAAUCGGAAUUACUGGGCGUAAAGCGCUCGUAGGCGGUAUGUCAAGUCAAGGGUGAAAUCCCCGCGCUCAACGUGGGAACUGCCUUUGAAACUGGCAGACUGGAGUGUGUGAGAGGAUAGUGGAAUUCCAGGUGUAGGAGUGAAAUCCGUAGAUAUCUGGAGGAACAUCAGUGGCGAAGGCGACUAUCUGGCACAUAACUGACGCUGAGGAGCGAAAGCGUGGGUAGCAAACAGGAUUAGAUACCCUUGUAGUC
This 465-nucleotide ribosomal RNA is filed under the name uncultured bacterium. RNAcentral's name for it is "partial 16S ribosomal RNA". It matches the Rfam family "Bacterial small subunit ribosomal RNA", at positions 338 to 795 of the family's 1533-position model. The record is from RNAcentral.